GACGAACGCCGGCGGCGUGCCUAAUACAUGCAAGUAGAACGCACAGUUUAUACCGUAGCUUGCUACACCAUAGACUGUGAGUUGCGAACGGGUGAGUAACGCGUAGGUAACCUGCCUGGUAGCGGGGGAUAACUAUUGGAAACGAUAGCUAAUACCGCAUAAUAUUGAUUAUUGCAUGAUAAUUAAUUGAAAGGUGCAAUUGCACCACUACCAGAUGGACCUGCGUUGUAUUAGCUAGUAGGUGAGGUAACGGCUCACCUAGGCGACGAUACAUAGCCGACCUGAGAGGGUGAUCGGCCACACUGGGACUGAGACACGGCCCAGACUCCUACGGGAGGCAGCAGUAGGGAAUCUUCGGCAAUGGACGAAAGUCUGACCGAGCAACGCCGCGUGAGUGAAGAAGGUUUUCGGAUCGUAAAGCUCUGUUGUAAGAGAAGAACGGGUGUGAGAGUGGAAAGUUCACACUGUGACGGUAUCUUACCAGAAAGGGACGGCUAACUACGUG
RNAcentral lists this ribosomal RNA (505 nucleotides) under uncultured bacterium. RNAcentral describes it as "partial 16S ribosomal RNA". It matches the Rfam family "Bacterial small subunit ribosomal RNA", at positions 28 to 507 of the family's 1533-position model. The record is from RNAcentral.